AGUGAACGCUGGCGGUAGGCCUAACACAUGCAAGUCGAACGGCAGCACAGUAAGAGCUUGCUCUUACGGGUGGCGAGUGGCGGACGGGUGAGGAAUACAUCGGAAUCUACUUUUUCGUGGGGGAUAACGUAGGGAAACUUACGCUAAUACCGCAUACGACCUACGGGUGAAAGCAGGGGAUCUUCGGACCUUGCGCGAUUGAAUGAGCCGAUGUCGGAUUAGCUAGUUGGCGGGGUAAGGGCCCACCAAGGCGACGAUCCGUAGCUGGUCUGAGAGGAUGAUCAGCCACACUGGAACUGAGACACGGUCCAGACUCCUACGGGAGGCAGCAGUGGGGAACAUUGGACAAUGGGCGCAAGCCUGAUCCAGCCAUACCGCGUGGGUGAAGAAGGCCUUCGGGUUGUAAAGCCCUUUUGUUGGGAAAGAAAAGCAGCAGGUUAAUACCCCGCUGUUCUGGCGGUACCCAAAGAAUAAGCACCGGCUAACUUCGUG
Molecule: ribosomal RNA, 492 nt
Filed under: uncultured bacterium
Lineage: Bacteria
Description: partial 16S ribosomal RNA
Rfam family: Bacterial small subunit ribosomal RNA
Source: RNAcentral